This 433-nucleotide ribosomal RNA is filed under the name uncultured bacterium. RNAcentral describes it as "partial 16S ribosomal RNA". It matches the Rfam family "Bacterial small subunit ribosomal RNA", at positions 29 to 507 of the family's 1533-position model. The record is from RNAcentral.
AGCGAACGCUGGCGGCAGGCCUAACACAUGCAAGUCGAACGAACUCUUCGGAGUUAGUGGCGGACGGGUGAGUAACACGUGGGAACGUGCCUUUUGGUUCGGAAUAACUCAGGGAAACUUGUGCUAAUACCGAAUGUGCCCUUCGGGGGAAAGAUUUAUCGCCAUUAGAGCGGCCCGCGUCUGAUUAGCUAGUUGGUGAGGUAACGGCUCACCAAGGCGACGAUCAGUAGCUGGUCUGAGAGGAUGACCAGCCACACUGGGACUGCGACACGGCCUAGACUCCUACGGGAGGCAGCAGUGGGGAAUCUUGCGCAAUGGGCGAAAGCCUGACGCAGCCAUGCCGCGUGAAUGAUGAAGGUCUUAGGAUUGUAAAAUUCUUUCACCGGGGACGAUAAUGACGGUACCCGGAGAAGAAGCCCCGGCUAACUUCGUG